RNAcentral lists this unclassified non-coding RNA (537 nucleotides) under Hevea brasiliensis (rubber tree). The record is from RNAcentral. Lineage: Eukaryota; Viridiplantae; Streptophyta; Magnoliopsida; Malpighiales; Euphorbiaceae.
CACUGUCCAUCAUGCUUUUUUGAGUAGUGAAUUGUGGCCUGCUUUGAUAUCUCUUCAAAAAAUAAGUUGCGUCUAACUCAACCUCAAAAGGUAGCUCAAUGGGGGAUUAGUGCUCAAAACUUUAUAAGGGUACAAUACCCAUUUCAUAAACUGAUGUGGAAUAUUAACACAUCCCUUUACACUCAAGAUUGAACACUUGGAGUUGGAGUGUAAAACACUUAUGGGAAACUUAACAUCAAUUGGAAAAUGGGCUGGGCCUAACUUAUUUCCAAAUGUUAGCUCAAGAGGAAAGGAGUUCUCAACCUUCUUUUUCUUUUUAAGAUGGUAUUGGAGUCCUGAUUGAGUUGUGGGUUUCAGUUGUCCAUAAGACUGUAUAAUUGAGACCAUAUUAGGUUAAAUACAAAUUAAUUGUCAAACGACAACCAUGUGGUUGCACUUGAGACGGGAGUGUUGGGAUUAUAAAUCUCACAUCGAGAAAGUAUAAAAAUGAAAGGGUAAAUAUAAUUGGUUAGAUUGCAACAUUAACUUGGCUAGUCA